This 557-nucleotide ribosomal RNA is filed under the name Salmonella enterica subsp. enterica serovar Enteritidis. Its description in RNAcentral is "partial 23S ribosomal RNA". It matches the Rfam family "Bacterial large subunit ribosomal RNA", at positions 1 to 590 of the family's 2925-position model. The record is from RNAcentral. Lineage: Bacteria; Pseudomonadati; Pseudomonadota; Gammaproteobacteria; Enterobacterales; Enterobacteriaceae.
GUUGUGAGGUUAAGCGACUAAGCGUACACGGUGGAUGCCCUGGCAGUCAGAGGCGAUGAAGGGCGUGCUAAUCUGCGAUAAGCGCCGGUAAGGUGAUAUGAACCGUUAUAACCGGCGAUACCCGAAUGGGGAAACCCAGUGUGACUCGUCACACUAUCAUUAACUGAAUCCAUAGGUUAAUGAGGCGAACCGGGGGAACUGAAACAUCUAAGUACCCCGAGGAAAAGAAAUCAACCGAGAUUCCCCCAGUAGCGGCGAGCGAACGGGGAGGAGCCCAGAGCCUGAAUCAGCAUGUGUGUUAGUGGAAGCGUCUGGAAAGGCGCGCGAUACAGGGUGACAGCCCCGUACACAAAAGCGCAUGUGCUGUGAGCUCGAUGAGUAGGGCGGGACACGUGGUAUCCUGUCUGAAUAUGGGGGGACCAUCCUCCAAGGCUAAAUACUCCUGACUGACCGAUAGUGAACCAGUACCGUGAGGGAAAGGCGAAAAGAACCCCGGCGAGGGGAGUGAAAAAGAACCUGAAACCGUGUACGUACAAGCAGUGGGAGCACCCUUUGGG